ACAUGCCUACAACAUAGCAUUAAUUCACUCGAUCCAAUUAGAACUCCCCAGUUAAGUGCACUUGGGCUAGAGUAGUACUGGGAUGGGUGACUGCUCGGGAAGUCCUAGUGUUUUACAUGCC
This is a non-coding RNA of Picea glauca (white spruce), 121 nucleotides long. The record is from Rfam. Lineage: Eukaryota; Viridiplantae; Streptophyta; Pinopsida; Pinales; Pinaceae.